ACUCAAUACACUACCACUUGAUGAGGUCUGGGUUAUUCUAGGUGGUUAAUGUGCUGUAAGCAACUGUCUUACUUCUCAUUAAGAGAGGUAGCUUAUGGAUCAUUUAACUUAAAGUCUGAUUUUUCUCCUUGGCUGUCCUUAGAGCUCAUGUCCAUUUUAGUCAUUUCUAUAUUCAGUGAGUUCUCCUCUUCCAGACUGUCUUUAACUCUCUUCCUUAAUUCCCCAAUUUCAUUAUCAGCCUAGACUCAAAUGGAAAGAGCUUCAAUGUGGGGAUACGUCUGUCUUACUGUAUAAACCUUAGGAAAGCCAGUUCUACAUGGAGAAGAAAAACAAAUUAAGAAGAAACACAAAUAAGUCCAUUAGGAAUCCUCUAAAAAUUAAACAUUAAAAAAAUGAUGCUCUGAAACCCAUGCUGCCUACUAUCGGUAAGUGCAGAAUGCUUAGCUAAGCUGAUAUAAAACUUUCACUUAGAAAUACUAAAUAUUAUUGAAGUGUUUUGCAACAUAUGCUACUGACAACAAGAAAUAGUCAAAGGCAAUUAAUUGAUAUUCACAAUAAAGUUCACUUUAUCUCUGGGCAAAUGCAAUCCAUUUAUCCCCAGUCAGUGUCUAGGAUAUGUGACUCAGUGGGGGAGACAGCACAUGUUACCUGAAUGAAAAAAGGAAGCGAGCAUCUUUUGUAGAGGGAGGCCAACUGAAAGGGAAACCUAAUGGAAUAUAACACUGUGACUGCUGAAAAGUUUCUGUCAAAUAGGUGAGUAGAAAAUAUUUUGUCAUGUUUUAAUUUACCUAUAUUCAAAAGAAUCUAUUAGUUUGUUUGUUUAUUUAUUUAUUUAUUUAUUUAUUUAGAGAUGGAGUCUCACUCUGUUGCCCAGGCUGGAGUGCAGUGGUGUGAUCUUGGCUCACUGCAAACUCCUCCUCCAGGGUUACUACAAAAUAUUCAUUAGCUCAUAAAAGGUAAGAAAUCCAUGUACUUUAAUAACUAUGAGAUACAAGAAUUAAUCGGCUGGGCGUGGUGGCUCACGCCUGUAUUCCCAGCACUUUGGGAGACCGAGGUAGGUGGACUGCUUGAGGUCAGGAGUUCAACACUAGCUUGACCAACAUGGUGAAACCCCAUCUCUACUAAAAAUACAAAAAUUAGCUGGGUGUGGUGGUGGGUGCCUGUAAUCCCAACUACUCGGGAGGCUGAGGCAGGAGAAUCGCUUGAACCUGGGAGGUGGAGGUUGUGGUCAGCCAAGAUUACGCCAUUGCACUCCAGCCUGGGGGACAGAGGGACUCCAUCUCAUAAAAAGAAAAAAAAAGAACUAACCAAAUGUAAGAUUCAAUCUUAUCAUCUUGAGAAAAGUUUGACCAUGCUGAGUUAACAGAAUUGCCCACCUUAAGAAGGUGCAUUUAUCCUAUCAAUGAAAGUGUAUUAAAGUAAGAUUAAACCAGGAAUGUAUAUAAAAUCAGCUAUUAAAUCCUUUGCUAAGCAGAGAACAGAACACUUAGACAAUUAACUAAAACUUGGGCUGAAAGAAAGAACAGAUGUAACACAAUUAGCCCUUCUAGUAAAAAAAACUGAAAACUUUUUUCCUUUUCAGGUUACUGUUGGCCUUAGGUGACCCCAAGUGACCCAAUUGAAGAUUUAAGCUUCACAUGCUAUGAGAUGAAAUUCUCUCUUCUUAUUAUAAUGGUAGCUUUAAAACUGCCAAACAAUAGAAUACCUAUGAUAAUGAAAAUUUGUAGAAAAUACCACUAAUAAACUCUCACUUCUAUAUAUCCUUAUAUAGACGUAACAGCUUGUUACGUCUGCUAACAAGCUGUUGAAGACGUAGAGAGAUGAACUACAGUGGGAAAGGCCAUUAGUCCAAUAGAUGUUUUGUGGAACAAAAUCUGAGUAAGUCUGCUUAAAUACCAUAGCCAUAAUGAAAAAGCCUUUCAGAAAGUCCAUGAUUGUUCCUUCACUCUUUAGAAUUCUAUUUCAAACUCUGUAGUAUGUAAAGAAUUGAAAUAUAAUUCAAACUCUGUUCACUAUGGGAAGAAGGGGAGGGAAGGAAUUUCUAAGACUUAUGAACAAUAGAAUUUUGAAAGUGUGGCUAACACAACCAGGGAUUUUAUCUGGUGAAUUUUACAUAUCACAUGUCUGUUAUUUUUAAUAGUUUCCUCUGCUUGGGUUCAUGUUCAUAAAUCUUUUGCUAAAUUUCCACAUGUACCUGACAUGUAUGAAUCUGUUAUUCUACUCUGUUUAGCUGACAUUGAAUGUCUACUUCCUGAAAGGACCUGGAAUAAUAUAUUUUCUUUGGAUUUGAGAAUCCCAGUCCUCUCCUUUGUUAUUAUAUUUCUUCAACUGCUGUUUUUGGAUUAUACAGGGCACUGUUUGUGAAAUGUCACUUAUGGGGCUAAAUAAUAAUGCUAUCAAGUAAAUACACAAUAAUAGGUAUUUAUAAAAUAUAGCUAUAUAAAAUACAGUACAUUUUAUAUGAGAGAGUUGCAUCACACAAGCAUAGCUUCUCAAGCUAGUAAGAUAAAAAUCACGUACAUGCUGGAGUUAAUCCACACAGAUUUAACGUUCUGAAUCCAACUGCAUGCUUGACAUGCUGUAGGAGAUCAAUAUAUAAUCUGUUUUUCACCAACUGUAGAGGUAUAGUAAAAAGGCUAGAGAAUUGUGUUUUCAUAUGUAAUCUUCUCCAUUUUAUCUUACAAUAUAUAUUACUGUAUAUGUAUAGGGAAGAUGACACAAAUCCAUAUAUGUAUAUUUUAACUUGUGAGUGAUUUAAUGGAUUUUAAAGAGUAAUUCUGCCAUUUUUAGACUGACUUUAAAACCUAAUUUGUGAUUCUGCCACAUAUCAAAAUGCAAACAGUGAUCAUCUCUGGGUGAUUUUUAAGCUUUUAAAAUUUGUACUUCCUAAAUUGCUAUAAUCUGUGAUUAGAAGAAUAAAUAAAAUAAAAAGUACUGUACUAUAUUUACAUUCUAUUAAGUCAUACAUGGUUCUGUUACAUAUUACAAAAUAAACUCUUCUGAAUAAAAAGAAUGUAUGGUCAUGAACAAGUCAAUGAUACCAAAUAACACCAUGACUACUCAACACUGUAAUGAAGGUCCUGGCCAAUGCAAUAAGACUAAAAAAGAAAGAAGAGAUACAAUACUUACAUAGCAAGAGAUCAUUUUUAUUUUCAAAUGAAAUAAUUAUCUAUAUAGGAAAUCCAAGAGAAUAUGCCAAUUAUUAGAAUAAGAAAAUAGUCAGAUUGAUGAAUAUAAGAUCCACAUACCAAAAUCAAUAGCCUCCUUAAAUUUCAAUAAUAGUCAUUAGAAAAGUAAUAGGAAAAAAAAAUCUCAUUCAAUAACAAUGAAAUCUCUAAGUUUUAAAAAAUAAUCUAGCAAAAGCUGUGUCGGAGUUUUAUGAAGAUAAUGGCAAAACAUUACCAGGGGAAAUGUAAAGACAAUGUGAAUAAAUGUUAUGGAAUGGAAGAUUCAACAUCACAAAUAGUUCCUCAAAAAUUAAUCUUUAAAUAAAAUGUAAUCAAAUCAAUCAAGAAGUCAACAGAAUUUUUUUUGGUCAAAUAAGAAAAAUUAAUUCUAAAUUCAUGUGAAGGGACAAAGGGACAAGAAUAGUCAAGACAAUUCUGAAGACAAAAUUACAUGGGAAGGUAUUUCCCUAUCAGAUAUCAAACAUUAUUUUAGAGCUAGAAUGAUUAAUACUAUGUGGAAUCAGUGCACAGACUGAUAAUUAAGGUAAGGCACCAAAAUAGAAGGCACAGAAAUAGGACCACACACACAGAGAAACUGGAUACACACAAACGUGGCAUUACAAGUCAGUGGGGAAAAAUACACUACUCAUUAAGCAUGGGGACAACUGGUUAUCCAAGAGAAAUGAAUUAAACUAGGUUCUUUUGAUGCAAUACACAAAAAUAAAGUUUAGGUACAUUAAAAGCCUACAUAUGAAAAGUAAAAUUCUAAAACUUUUAUGAUAAAAUACAGGAAAAUAUCUUUAUGACCACAAGAUAGAUCAUUAUUACCUAAAUAAGAUCGAGAAAAGCUGAGAUUGCAAACAAAAUAACCUGUAUUCAUUCUGUGCACAUCUGUAACAUUAAGCUAGCUAUAAUUAUCCCUAUUCUCUCCCAUUUUGUUUUGUCACAUGAGAAGAGCCUACUGAAUACCACUGAGUUAUCAUUACUAUUGUGGCAGCUUAUACACAAUUACAUGUAAAAAUGUACUAGAUUAUAAUUUUAACUGAGCUAUAUAGCUCAUCAAAAACAUUAUAUUAUCUUAAAAUCAGUUUGCUUGUUUUAUUGGAAAUAUAAUCCAUGCAUUUUAAUUUCCCAAAUUGUAAAAAUUAAAUACAAUUGUCCCUAGGUAUACACAUGAGAUUGGUUCCAGGACCAGCCCCCAGUACCCAUACCCAAAUCCACACAUACUGAAGUCCAUAGUCAGCCCUUUGGGGUCCGAUGCCAUAGGAAAUAUGUACAAGGGUUUGCAUCCCACGAAUACUAUAUUUUCCAUCUGUGUUUGGUAGUGGAUGCAGAAUCCACAGGUAAGGAGAGCUGACUGUAUUUAUUGAAAAAAUUCCACAUAAGUGCAUCAGCAGAGUUCAAACUGGUACUUUUCAGUGGUCAACUGUAUAAGAAUAUAUUUACAAUAUGGCAGUGAACACAGUACCUUGAAACUUCAAAAGAAAAUUAGAUAUGACCAUUUCAACAUGCAAUAUAGUAAGAACUAUUCACGUUUGGCUACUAAGGAAUUGAAAUGUGGCUAUUCUGAAUUCAGAUGUGCUUUAGUGUAAACUACAGAGUGGAUUUUGAAGAAGUAGUAUGUACGCACAAAAAAUACAUACUACAACAACACAACUGUGUUUUGAAGAAUAUGCUACUAAAUUUCUUAUUCUGUAAGGAGAUGGCUGUGUGUGAUAUGCCAGCACAUACACUUAUUUCAGCUAUUAUAUUUGGGAGAGACAAGCUUAUGUCCCAGUUCAAGCUCAGAAUUGCCCAUAAUCAGAACAAAUAUCUUGCGCAAACAGAUAACCUUUAAAGUAUAUCACAAAAUUAUAUAUAAAAUAUAAGGCAGAAUAAAUUUGUUUCAGCAUUAAACCAAUUAUUUAUUCACAUAUCUACCUGUGUUCCCUCAUACUCCUAUUGUCUAAAGGGGAGAUUAAGUUUAUAUCUGUUCAUUGGUCUUGAGGUCUGCUUCCAGUCUUUAUUUAAAGCAGUCUUACUUAACGGAGAUUACAAAUGGAGAUUUUGUGUAUAGAAGUGUCAGUGUUUAACAUGUUUUCAUGUAAAUAGAACAGACAUAAAGAAUAGUGGUGGAGUCGAGGAGAACACAAGUCACAGGGGUCUCAGUUGUAUCAGAAUAAUCUGAACAAAUAUGACCAAAAGUGAAGAUUUCUCAGAAUGGUGGUGAUUUGAAAGGUGAUUGGAAGACGCCAUUUACAAAUGGAGUUUCUUUCCAGGCACUGGGACUAGGGCUGAGUCAGUCUAGGGCAGGAACAGAAGGGGCGGCUGCUGCUACCUCGCUCCACAUUUCAGAUGGUAGAGCAUUAUGCACAAGUGUCCAUGGUCCAGGCAGUAUGCAAGAGAGAUGAGAAAGCAUGCGAGGCAGGCCGACUUGUUUCUGCUCUUUCUAUUCCUGCCUGGACCAGCAAUUUCACUGCUAUUCUGUGACAGAUCUGUCACACACAGGCUUAGAUAAAAAAUAUUUCUGUAUAGAAAAAAAAGUUGUGAAAGUGAUAUUUUUGAACUUCUAAUGCUGUUACUCUAGGGAAAAGCCAGUAGUGGCAAUGGGGAGGAAGGGAGAGACUUACCAUAUGUGAAGGGAAAAUAACUCAGCAACUGGAGUGGAAAUGAUUAUUAUCAGCUAAUAGGAAUUAUGUCAACCUAAAUAUUACUCACUGACAGCACAGCUAUGUACAAUUUAUGAUAAGGGAAUAACUUAAGCAAUGGUGAAUACUUAUGAAAGACUUGAAAUUCUUACAUUUCUUCUGCAUUCAAAGUUUAACAUUCAUAAAAAAUUAGGAACCAAGUUACAUUCUGAAUCUUCCUAUUUUUUUUUAUUUUUGAGUUUAGAGUUUUUUUAUAUAUUGUGAAUACAAAUCCUUUGUGAAUGAGAUUUGCAAUUAUUAUUUCUCCUAGUCUGUGGCUUGUUUUUUCAUCCUCUUUGCAAUGUCUUUUGUGAAGUAAAGGUCUGAAUUUUGAUAAAGGUCAACUUAUCAGCCUUUCUCUUUCGUUGACUGUGUUUCUGGUGUCAUGGCUAAGAGCUCUUCAACUAACUCAAUCUAGGUCACAAAGACUUUCUAUGUCUUCUAAAGGUUUCAUCAUUUUAUGUUUUACAUUUAAGCUUGUAAUCUAUUUUGAGUUAGUUUUUGUGUAAGAUAUGAUGUUUAGUCAAGGUUUUUUUUUCCCUGCUAGGGAUGCCCAGUUUUUCCAAUACCAUCUGUUAUAAAGACUAUCUUUUCUCCAUUGAAAAAGAGACUACACUUCUCUUAAACACCGUUAGCUGUACUAGUAAGCUGUACUUGUUUGGCAGUCUAAGUUAUUCCACUGAUCUAUGUGUCUACUGCCUUGCCAAUACCACACUGUCUUGAUUAUUGUAGCUAUAUAGUAAAAUCCUUAACUUAGGGAGUGUGAUUUCUCCAAUUUUAUAUUCUUUUUCAAAACUGAUUUAGCUAUUUUGGUUCCUUUGUCUUUUCAUAUAAAUUAUAGAAUCAAUUUGUCUGUAUCUACAAAAAAACUCUACUGCGAUUUUGAUAGGAAUGACAAUAACUCUACAUAUUGAGAGAAAUGAUAUUUUUGGAUGUUGAGUCUUCCAGUGCCUGAAUAUGGUAUGUCUCACCAAUGGUCUUCUUUGAUUUCUUUCAUCAGCAUUUUGGAGUUAAUGACAUAUAGAUACUUAAUAUGUUUCAUUUAUACUUAAGUAUUUUGUUUCUUAAUGCUGCUUUAAAUUGGAUUGUAUUGAUUUCUAUUUCUAGUUGUUCAUUGCUAAUAUAUAGAAAUAAGAGUGAUUCUUGUGUAUUGAUCUUGUAUCCUGCCACUAUCUUAAAUUCACUUAAUAGUUACAUGAGGUUUUUUUUCCCUAAUUCUUUCAAAUUUUCUACACCAACAAUCAUGUCACCUCAAUAGGGGAAGUCUGACCUCUUUCUUUACAAUUUGUAUGUCUUUUAUUUCUUAUUCUUGCUUUACUGCACUGGGUAAGACUUCCAGUACUAGGUUCAAUGGGAGUAGAGAGAGAACACAAACUUGCCUUAUUCUCAGUAUUAGAGAAAAGCAUUACUUUUACUUUCACCAUUAAUUAUAAGGUUGGCUGUAGAUUUUUUUAUAAUUCUUUAUCAAGUUGAUGACGUUCCCUUGUAUUCCCAUAUUUCUGAGAGGUUUUAUCAUGAAUGCAUUGAAUUUUGUUAAAUGAUUUUUCUACAUGAACUGAUAUGCUUAUUCCUUUAUUUAAAAUAGUAAAUGGAGGAAUAAAAUGAUUUUUAAAUAUUAAAUAACUGUACAUCCCUGGAAUAAAGCCCACUUGGUUGUGGUGUAUUAUUUUUGAUAUAUUGCUGGGAUUCUUUGGUAUAAUGGGAAAUAUAUAUUUGGUCUUGGUCCCCAGUUCCUGGCAUGGAGCUCCUAAAUGGAAUUUCCUGAGCAAUAGGAGCAUCUUUUGUUACUCAUAACAGGCCCUUCCAAUUAUCUGAGUUUAUGCUAAUGAGAUGAGCUAUCUCAUCUAUCUUGAGUUUAUGCUAAGGCCCUUAGAUAGCUUCAGGAUGAGGCCUUUCACCAGAAACAACAAUCUUUGAUCAGAGGGUUGGAACUUUCAGUCUCACCCCCUAAUCGUCCCAGAAAAGAGAGGAGGAGCAGCUUGAGUCCAACGACCAAUGGCCAAUGACUGAAUCAAUCAUGCCUACGUAAUGAAGCCUCCCUAAAAACCUCUAAACGACAGGAUUUGGUGAAUACAUCCAGUUGUGAGGGUGGGACACUCUAACUCCAUGGGGACAAAAAAGGCCAUGCUUGUGACCCUUGUGACCUUACCCUAAUGUACCUCUUCAUUUUGCUGUUCACUUGCUUCUUUUAGAAUAAACUACAAUAGAAUGUAUAGCAUUUUCCAGAGUUUGGUGAGUCUUACUAGCACAUUAUUGAACAUGGGGAGGAAUGAGGACUCCUGAAUUUGUAGCCAAGUUGGAGAGAAAUCUGGGUAUCCUGGGGACUGGAGCUUGAGAUCGGGAUAUGAAGUCAAGGCAGUCUUGUGGAACAGAAUCCUUAACAAAUGUAGAGUUGCACACUUACUCUGGGAAUUUGGUGUCAGUGGCUUGGAUCACUGGGCACACAAGUGGUACUGGAGAAUCAGAGAUUCAAUGUGCUAAUUUGUUGUUGGGUAAUUUUUCAUCUCUGUUCAUGAAGUAUUAGUCUGUAGUUUUCUUUUUUUGUACUGUUUUUGCCUGGUUUGGCAUUAAGGUUAACAUCAGCCUCCUAAAUUUAGUUGAAUUGAGAAGUGUCCCUUAGUCUUCUAUUUUCUGGAAGAGCUUAUGUAGAACUGGAAUUAUUUAAAGGUUUCGUAGAAUUUGUUAGUGAAACUAUCUGGGCCUGGAGAUUUCUUUUUCAGAAGGUUGUGGUUAAAGUUUUAAUCUCUUUAAUAGUUAUACAAUGGUUCCUAUGAUCUAUUUCACUUUGAAUGAAUUUUGAUAGUGUGUGGUUUUCAAGGAAUUGUUAAAUUAAGUCAAAGUUGUCAAUUUAUGCAUGGAGGGUUGUUCAUUGCAACAACACUAAUCCUUUAAGCAUCUGAACAUCUGUAGUAAAAUCUUCUGUUUCAUUUUUGUUAUUGUUUAAAAACUAACAAUCCUCUCUUUUUUUUUGUCAGUCUUGUUAGAGGUUUAACGAUUUUGUUGAUAUUUUCCAAAAACCAGCUUUUGAUUUGCCUUUGUUAUUUUUCUGUUUUUACUAUUUAUUUAUUUUUAUAGAUUUAAGGGCUACAAGUGCAGUUUUGUUACAUGGACAUAUUAUGUAGUGAUGAAGUCUGGGCUUUUAGUAUACAAUAGUAUAUACUGUACUCAUUAAAUAAUUUCUCAUCCCUCACAUCCCCUCAGCUUCAUGGGUACAAUAUAUACUAUUUGUAUACAUAGUUAAUAGUUAUACAAUGUAAUAAUUUCUCAUCCCUCACAUCCCCUCAGCCUCAUGGGUACAAUAUAUCCUAUUGUACCCACGUACAGUACAGUAGUAUAUAUUGUACCCAUGAGGCUGAGCGGGUAUGAGGGAUGAGAAAUUACUACAUUGGUACAAUAUAUACUACUGUACCCAUGAGUUGUACCCAUUAAGUAAUUUCUCAUCCCUUACACCCCCUCAGCCUUGCGAGUCUUCACUAUUACUCCAUCCUCUAUGUCCAUGUGUACAUAUUAUUUAGCUUGUAUUCACAAGUGAGAACAUGCAGUAUUUGACUUUGUUUCUGAGUUAUUUCACUUAAGACAGUUCCAGCCAUGUUGCUGCAAAAGACACGAUUUCAUUCUUUUUUAUAGAUGAGUCGUAUUCCAUGGUGUAUAUGUAUAUGAUAUAUAUAUUUUUUUAUCCAAUCAUCUGUUGAUGGGGAACUUAGGUUGAUUCCAUAGCUUUGCUACUAUGAAUAGUGCUGCAAAAAACAUAUGAGUACAGGUAUCCUUUUGGUAUAAUGAUUUCUUUGCCUUUGGUUAAGUACCCAGUAGUAGGAUUGCUACGUCAAAUGGUAAUUCUAUUUUUAGUUCUUUGAGGAAUCUCCAUACUGUUUUCCACAGAGGUUGUAUUAAUUUUCAUUCCCAAUGACAGCAAAUAAGUGGCCCCUUUUCUCCACAUCCUCGCCAACAUGUUGUUUUUUGACUUAACAGCUGUUCUGACUGGUGAAAGAUGGUAUAUUUCAUUGUGGUUUUAAUUCUUAUUUCUCUGAUGACUAGUAAUGUUGAAUAUUUUUUCAUGCUUGUCAGUCACUUGUAUGUCUUUGUCUGAAAAAUGUUUGUUCAUGUCCUUUGCCCAGUUUUUAAUGGGGUUGCUUUUUUUUCUUGCUGAGUUGAAUUCCUUGUAGAUUCUGGAUAUUAACCCUUUGUCAGAUGUUCAGUUUGCAAAUAUUUUCUCCCAUUCUGUAGGCUGUCUGCUUACUCUGUUCAUUAUUUAUUUUGCUAUGUAGAUAAGCCUUUUAGUUUAAUUGAGUUCCAUGUAUCUAUUUUUGUUUUUAUUGUGUUUGCUUUUGAGGACUUAUUCAUAAAGUCUCCCUAGGCCAAUGUCUAGAAGAGUUUUUCCUAGGUUUUCUUCCAGGAUUUUUAUAGUUUCAGGUCUUACAUUUAAGAUUUUAAUCCACCUUGAGUUAAUUUUUGUAUAUGGUGAGAGACAGGGGUCCAGUUUAAUUUUUCUGCAUAUGGCUAGCCAAUUUUCCCAGCAUCAUUCUUUGAAGAGACUGUCCUCUCCCCAUUGUGUAUUUUUGUCAACUUUGUUGAAUAUUAGUUGGUUGAAGGUAUGUGGGUUUGCUUCUGGGUUCUCCAUUCUGUCCCAUUGAUCUGUGUGUCUAUUUUUAUAGCAAUACCAUGCCAGCUCCUUAUAAUAAAUCCUGUCUCUGUCCAUUCUAUUGGUUUUGUUUCUCUGCAGAACCCUGACUAAAACCAAUAUGCUACACUGUGAAAUUUGAAGACAGAGGAUGGGGCCAUGAGCCAAGGAAUGCUGGUAUUCUUAAGAAGCUGGAAAAGGCAGGGAAACAAGUUCUCCCCUAAGCCUCCAGAAGAACAAGUGGUGCUAACACUUCGACUUUAGCCCAGUGAAACUUAUUUCAGACUUCUGACUUCAGAAUAUAAUAAAUCUGUGUUUUCCUAAAAGACAUUAUAUUUGUGGCAAUUUGUUACUAUGGCAAUAGGAAACUAAUACACAAACCAGGUUCACUCUUGGUACCUUUCUACAAUAUUGUGUCAGUCAACAUUUGAAGCUCACAAAUGGAUAAAUAAAAUGUGGUAUAUCCAUGCUGUGGAAAAUUACUUGGCAAUAAAAAGACAUGCAGAACUGAUAUAUCUGAUAUUAAGGGUAAAUCUUGAAAACACUAUGCUAAGUGAAAGAAGCCAAUUAUGAAGGAUCAUGAAUUAUAAUGAUUCAAUUUUAGUCAAAUGACUACAAUAGGCAAAUCUGUAGAGACAGAAAAUGGAUUUGUGGCUGUCUAUGGCUUGGGAGGUGAUGGCUUAGAAGUGUGAGGUUUUCUUUUUGGGGUAACAGAAAUGUUUUAAAACUGACUGUGGCAAUGGAUGCACACCUCUGUGGAUAUACCAAAAGCCAUUAGAUUGUACACUUUCAACAUGUGAAUUUUAUGAUAUGUGUAUUUACCUCCACAAAGUUGUUAAACAAUUAUACAUUUAUAAAAACAUUAAUGAAGCAGAAUAAAAGUACACAAAAAUUCUAGGAAAAAAAGAGCACCAAUAAGAUAUAACAUAUUUCUAUAGUCAAGAAUAUAUGCAACUUAUUUAAAUAGAUAUUGUGUUCAUUAUAUAGUAGCCUUACAAAACGCGUUCCUCACACUCACAAGUGUUUUAAUGUUCAUAGAUGAAACUCAGUUUAAUUUAUCCUGUUUUGCAGUUAUAAUAUACAGUGUAGCCAUCAUCUAAACAGUGAUAGAUGUUUUAAUACAUCUAUAAACACAAUAAAUACAAUCCAAACAGCUAUUUCAUUACAUUCUUUAGCUACCUGUCAGAUUAAUGCAUAAUGGGUCAAGUCAACUAUGCUCACCUUCCCCACAACCACCCCCAUUAAAAUUGUUUUCUGUGCUCCUUAGAGAGUCAAGAGAAGAAUGAAUGUGCUAUUUUUGAAAUGUAUCUUUAAAAAAAUUCAUGUGCUUGGAAUAAUUCAUGGAAGAAUAACUGUUUCUGAAUCUUCAAAAAACAAAAUGUCCUCAAAUAAGUAUUCUUAAGUUUGUACAUGAAAACCCAAAGCUUGUAUAAUUUUCUUGAAUCACACAUAUAUUUAAUUAGAAUUUAUGGUGUAAUAUUUAUUCUGAAGGAAUGAAAACAUUUGAAAAACUGAAGCUAUCAUGUUAUAGAAACUUACAUAGAACAACAUCAGAAUUACUCUACACAUGUCAAGUAUUAUUGUUAUUAUGGUGGUAUUAUACAUAUUAGUUUUCUUCCACCAUUCCUGGCUCAAAACUCCCAUAGCCCUCGUUACAGUCUUUUGUUGUAAUGUUGGGUGUGUUAGGCCUCAGAGGCAGGCCUCUGACCUUCUCCUGCACUCCGUUCACGCUAAUGUUCCUUUCUGAUCCUGGGUCUUAAGACACUCCCAUGAGAGAGUCCCACCCUAUACCCUGGGGGAAGAAUGCUGAUGCAAUGAAGCUUCCAUAAAAACCCAAAAGGAAAGGGUUCAGUAAACAUCCGAGCUGAACAAGUGGAGAUUGCUGGAGGGGGUUGUGCCCAGGGAGGGCUUAGAAGCUCUGAGCCCCUGCCCCGUACCUCACCCUAUGCCUCUCUUCAUCUAUAUCUUUUAUAAUAAACCUGUCAAUAUAAGUAAGUGCUUCUCUGAGUUCUGUAAGCCACUCCAGCAAAUUAACUCAUACCAAAGGAGGGGGUCAUGGGAACCCCAACCUGACGCUGGUUGGACAGAAAUUUCAGAGGCCUGGGCUUGCAACUAGUGUGUAUGUGGCAGUGGUCUUGGGGAUUGAGCCCUUAACCUGUUGGAUCUGACACUAUCUCCAGGAGUGUUGGAACUGAAUUAGAGGACACCCAGCUGGUGUCUGCUGCUUUGUGUGUGGGGACAAAAACUCCACACAUAUGGUCACCCAAGUCUUCUAUGUUAGUAACUAUUGUGGUGUGAGAGUAGAGGAAAAACAUAGGCAGAGAGAGUUUUUCCUACACAAUUAUAUUACAUAAGAGCUGUAGAAAACAGUAGUAGUCAAUUCAAAGAAUUUUGUAAACACGCGUUAUAAUAAUAUUGCUUAUAAUUCUUUCAUGUACCCUCUGCCUCUGAUCAUCUGUGCCUUGGCAAGUGUUGCUCUCCCUGAAACUCACCCCCACACUUACCCACUGCUAAAUUAUUUGUAAUUCCUUUGACACUCAGUGUAAGUACCACUUUCUCCCAAAAGCCUUUCCUGACACUCCUCCACAUGGCAGACUACAAAGGGAAGGAGCUCAGUAUAGGGAGAUGGAAGUAACAUCACUGCUUGGGGCAAGUUGGGUUCCCUGGGAAGGAGAUCUGAGAUGGAAACAGGACAGCAGUAAAUAUAUUACAUUGAACUCUACAUAGGUAGAGGGAGAAUUUAGACUGUGAUGCAGUCUUAACAAAGGCCUCAAUCUAUCCCACAGGAAGCUCUGAAGUUGGGAUGGCCAUUCCAAAUUGUCCUCCAUUAUGGGUGCAGAGGCUGGGACUUUAACUGCCCCGUCAAUUAUAUGAUAUGAUAAAGGAGGCAUAUCACUAGAAAAAGUGGCCUUCUUUGUUAAAGAUAAUUGCCAGAGGCUGGGCGCGGUGGCUCACACCUGUAAUCCCAACACUCUGGGAGGCCGAGGUGGGUGGAUCACCUGAGUUCAGCAGUUCUAGACCAGCCUGGCCAACAUGGUGAAACCCCAUCUCUACUAAAAAUACAAAAAUUAGCUGGGCAUGGUGGCGGGUGCCUGUAAUCACACCUACUUGGGAGGCUGAGGCAGGAGAAUCACUUGAACCCGGGAGGCAGAGGUUGUGGUGAGCCAAGAUCAUACCAUUGCACUCCAGCCUGGGCGACAAGAGUGAAACCCUGCCUCAAAAAAAAAAAAAGAUAAUUGCCAGAGAGUGUUAAUAGCAAAUGGCUGUCAGAUGGCAGCCUUCUCAGCAGCCCAGGAAAUAGGUCCUUAAGUCCUAAAGAGAGAUCUGGGUAGCACCACAUUGCUUAUAUACUAUGUGCUAGGUGCUGAGCUUUGAUACAUUAUACAGUUUAAUUCCUCCAGUCUUAUGAGGUAUGGAUUACUAUCCCUAUUGUAUUCAUGAGAUAGGCAAGGCUGAGAGAGGUUAAAAAACUCACUGAACAUCUCACAUUUAAUAUGUGGUAAACUUACAAAAUCUAUAUUCUUUCACUUAAUCACAACUUCCUCUCAGGUAGUUCACAUUCAAGGAAUGUUAAGAUAAUAAAUUUGUUCAAAAGUUUGGCUUUUUGAGGCAAGCAAGACCUACAUCAAUUGCUAGCUGCAUUUGUAAGAUAAAGCUGAAGAUCAGAUGUAUCAGAGCUAAUGCAAGGACACUUGGUUAAGAAAUGAUGCUGCAACUAGACCCGAAGACCAUUCUAACUCUGUACACCAUACAGAGAAAUGCUGUCCAGAAUAACGUUGUGUUAACAGAAAUGUUCUCUAUUUAAAUAUAUAUAUAUUUACAUAUAAUUUUUUCUUAAAUUAGAGGUGGGGAUCUUGCUCUAUUGCCCGGACUGGUCUUGAACUCUUGGCUUUAAGUGAUUCUCAUGCCCUGGCCUCCCAAAGGGGGAUUACAAGCGUGAGCCACCAAGCCCAGCUGCUGCAAGACCAACUGCUCUAUUUUUUUUUCUUUCUUUCUGAGGCAGGGGCUUGUUCUGUCACCCAGGCAGGAGUGCAGUGGCACAAACACAGCUCACUGCAGCCUUGACCUCCUGGGCUCAAGCGAUCCUCCUGCCUUAACCUCCUGAGUAGCUGGGACCACAGGCACCUGCCACUAUGUCUGGCUAUUAUAAAAUUUUUUUUUGUAGAGACAGGGCCUCACUAUGUUAUCCAGGCUGGUCUUGAACUCCUGGGCUCAAGCAAUUCCCUCACCUCAGCCUCCCAAAGUGCUGUGACUACAGGUGUGUGCCACCAUACCAGGGUUGUCUGUUUUUGAUUCUGGCCAUCCUAGUGAGUGUGAAGUGGUAUCUAAUUGUGGUUUUGUUUUGAAUUUCACGAAUGACUAAUGAUGUUAAGCAAAUUUUUAUGUGCCUUUUUAUCCUAUGCAUAUCUUCUUUGGAAAAAUGUCUAUUCACAGUUUAAGGUGAAAAGUGAGCAUUAACCUCUUCUGUUAGAAAGCAUGGCAAGAAUAAAUAUCUCAAUUUACUCAAUUAUCUUCUGCCUUAUACAGUGUUAUCCACAUAUAAGAACUUCAACUGCUGACAUUACUUUCUCCAGGAAGUCUUCCUAGUUGCAUCCUGUAGACUAGGAGAAAUGGUCCUGCUGUACAUUUUUAUUUUUAUUUUUUUGAGAAAGAGUCUAUUAACCAACCCUUGGCGUUCACCUAUUCCACAAUAACCUCUAUCUUAAGUAACAACUAUUCUACUCUCUACUUCUGAGAUAAACUAUUUUAGCUUCCACAUGAAUGAGAAUGUGGUUAUUCACCUUUCUGUACUUGGAUUAUUUCACUUAAUAUAAAGUCCUCCAAGCUCAUCAUGCUGUUAUGAAUGACAACAUUUCCACUCUUAAUGGCUAAAUAUUUUCCACUGUGUUUAUAUACCACAUUGCAAAAAUCAAUUCAUCUCUUGAUGAAUAGUUAGGUUCAUUUAAUAUCUUGGUUAUUGUGAACAGAGCUGCAAUAAACAUGGGGGUACAGGUAUCCUUUUGAUUUCCUUUCCUUGGGAUACUCAGUGGCAGGACUGCUGGAACGUAUGGCAGGUAUGAUAGUUCUAUUUUUUAUAUUUUUUGAGCAACCUCCACCCUGUUUUCCGUAAUGGCUGUACUAAUUUACUUUCCCACCAUCAAUGUAUAAGAGUUUCCCAUUCUCUGCAUCCUCAACAGCAUUUACUUUUGGUUUUCUUUUUUUUUUGAGACAAAGUCUCGCUCUGUCGCUUAGACCAAAGGCCAAGGUAGGAAGAUUACUUGAGCUCAGGAGUUCGAGACUAGCCUGGUUAACAUGGUGAAACCCCGUCUCCACCAGAAACACAAAAACUAGCCAGCGUGGUGGUGCACACCUGUAGUCCCAGCUACUUGGGGCUGAGGCACGAGAAUCGCUUGAACCCAAGAAGUGGAGGUUGCAGCGAGUCGAGAUUGCACCACUGCACUCCAGCCUGGGUAACAGUGCGAGACUCUUAAAAAAGGUGAAGUAAAAUGGGUAUCCUUGUCUCCUUCCAAAUCUUACAGGAAAAGCUUCCAACUUUUCCUCGUGUAGUAUAAUGUUGGCAGUAGGUUUGUCAUAUAUAUCCUUUACUAUGUUGAGGUAUAUUCCUUCUGUACCUAAAUUAUUGAGAGUUUUUACGAUGAAGGAUGCUGAAUUUUAUCACAUCCUCUUUCGAUAUUUAUUGAGAUGACCAAAGAGUUUUUGUCUUUCAUUUUGUUAAUGUGGUGUAUCACAUUUAUUGAAUUGUAUAGUUUAGCCAUCCUUAUAUUCCUGGGAUAAAUUCACUUUGAACAUGGUAAAUGCUCUUUCUAAUGUGCUGCUGAAUUCAGUUUGUGAGUAUUUAGCUCAGGACUUCUGCAUCUCAACUAACCUGACAUAUUAAACUGUACUAUUCUUUUUCUGUUGCAUCCUUGUCUUGUUUUGGUAUCAGGGUAAUGGUGACCUUGUAUAAUGAGUAUGCAAGAAUUUCCACCUCCUAAAUUUUCUGAAAUACCUUAAGAAUUGAUAUUAGUUCUUUAUUUAAUGUUUUAUAGAAUUCAGUACUGAAGCUACUGGGUCCUGGGCUUUUCUUUAAUGGGGGACAUUUUAUUCAGGAUUAAAUCUCAUUACUUCUAAUUGGUCUGUUCAGGUAUUCUGUUUCUUCUUGGUUCAAUCUUGGUGGAUUGUAUGUGUACAUGAAUUCAUCCAUUUACACUAGAUUUUCUAAUUUGUUGGCAUAUAGUUGUUUGUAAUAGUCUCUAAUGGUCCUUGUAUUUCUGUGAUAUCAAUUUUAAUGUCUCCCUUUCCUUUUUGAUUUUAUUUAUUGGGGCCUUUCCUCUUUUUUUUAUCUAGAUGAGUCUAGCUAUUGGUAAAUUUAUGUUAAUCUUUUCAAAAAUCAACUUUUGCUUCAUUCAUCCUGUUGUUUUGUAGUCUCAAUUAGUAAAAUUUCUGCUCUGAUCUUUAUUGUUUCAUUCCUCCAACUAACUUGGGGUAUAGUUUCUUCAUGAUUUUCUAUUUUUGACAUGCAUUGUUAGGUGGUUUAUUUAAAAUCUUUCUAGUUUUUUAAUGUUGGUGUUUAUAUCAGCUUUUGCUGUAUCCCACAGGUUUCGGUAUGCUGUUUUCCUAUCUUCAUUUGCUUCAAAACCCAUUUAAGAUACCUUCUUCAUCUCUUCAUUGACCCAUUGGUCAUUCAGAAGCAUACUGUUUAAUUUCCAUAUAUUUGCACAAUUUCAAAAGUUUCUUUGGUUACAGAUUUCUAGUUUUGUUGCAUUGUGGUGAGAAAAGAUAUUUAAUAUAAUUUUAAUUUAAAAAAAUUUGUUGAGACUUGUUUUGUGGUCUGCCAUGUGGUCUUACCCUGGAGAGUGCUGAUGGAAAGAAUGUGCCUUCUCUAGCUGUUGGAUAAAAUGUUCUGUAAAUGUCUGUUAGGUCCAUGUGGUCUAAAGGACAAUCUGAAAGCAAUGUUUUUGUUGGUUUUAUGUCCAGAUGAUCUAUCUAAUGCUGAGAGUGGUUACUGACGUCUCCAUCUAUUAUUGUAUUGAAGUCUACCUUUCCCUUUAGAUCUAAGAAUAUUUGCUUUAUAUAUCGCAGUGCUCUGGUAUUGAGUGUAUUUACAUUUAGAAUUAUUAUAUCCUGUUGCUGGAUCAGUUCCUCAAUCAUUAUAUAAUAAUUACUUUGUCUGUUUUUAGAGUUUUUAAAAAGUCUGUUUUUUAUAAAUAAAUGUAGCGAUACCAGCUCAAUUGGCUUCUGUUUGUGUGGAACAUCUUUUACCGUCUCUUCACUUGCAGUCUAUAUGUGUAUUUACAGGUAAAGUGAGUAUCUUGUAGUAGGUAUAGAUGGGCCAUAUUUGUUUUUAAAUCCAUUCAGUCAGUCUGUAUCUUUUAAGUGGGAAAUUUAAUGCAGGUACAUUCAAGGUUAUUACUGAUAGGUGAAGACUUACUCCUGUCACUUGGCUGAAUGUUUUCUGUUUUUUCUCUAUAUACUUUGUUUCUUUAUUCCAAUCUUGUUUAUUAAUGUGGUUUCACAGUUUUUUGCAGCGACAAGGUUUAAUUCUUGUCUCUGUUUUCUUUUAAUAUCUGUUCUAUUAUCUUUCUCAUGUUUUCAUGAUGGUGAAUAUUGUCCUGUGGCCUGCUAGAUCUCGGACUACCUUGACUAUUUCUUGUAAGGCUGAUCUAGCAGUUAUAAAUUCUCUCAGAUUUUUUUCUAGGAAAGACAUUAUUUCUCUCUCUCUCUGCUGAACUACAGCUUUGGUGGUUAUAGUAUUCUUUGGUUUUUACAGUUACAGUAUUCUCGGUCGUAUCAUGUAAAACAAUUAUUUUUUCUUUCAGCACUUUGAAUACAUCAUCCCACUCAUUCAUAGCCUGUAAGGUUUCUGCAAGAAAUCUGUUAUUCUAAUUGGGAUUCCUUUGUAUGUGACUUGACUGUUUUGCUGUUCUUUUUUGCUUUUUCUCCUCAUUCUCUUGCUGUUUUUAAAUUUUUUUCCUGUCUCUGCCAUUUGACCAUUUAAUUGCAAUAUGCCUUGGGGAGGACCAUUUGCAGUUGAUUCUCUUUGGAGACCUUUGAGAUUCCUGAAUUGAAACGUCCAUCUCUCUCCACCGACAUGGAAAGUGUUCAUCUACUAUUUCAUUAACCAGAUUUUCUAUGUAAUUUUCCUUCUCUUCACCUUCUGGAAUUCCCAUAAGAUUACUAUUUGUGUGCCUAUUGAUGUAACUUAAGUUUUGUAGGAUUUCUCUCACUCUUUUGCAUUCUUAUUUCUUUUUAUCUCUGUCUGGGUAAUUUGAAAUGACAGAUCUACAUAUUUAAAGGUUCUUUCUUAAGUCUGAUGAAGUCUGCUACUGCAGCUGUCUAUUUUAUUUUUUAUUUCAUUCAUUGAGUAAUUAAGCUGCAGGAUUUCUGUGUGGUUUUUAUUUUUUUAUUAUGAUUUAUACCCCUUUGUGAAUUUCUUAUCUAAGUCUCGUAUUGUUUUUAUGAGACUGUUGAAUUGUCUACAUGUAUUUUCUUUUGUCACACUGAGUUUCCGUAAUAUCAUUAUUUUGAAUUCCUUUUCUGGUAACUGUUGAUUUCUUUUACACUGGGAUACAUUAUUAGAGAUAUGAUAUGGCAUUCAUGAUGCCAUUUUUCCUUGCUUUUUUUUUUUUGAGAUGGAGUUUCGCUCUUUCGUCUAGGCUGGAGUGCAGUGGUACAAUCUCGGCUCACUGCAACCUCCACCUUCUGGUUUCAAGAGAUUCUCCUGCCUCAGCCUCCCAAGUUGCUGGGAUUACAGGCGCCCGCCACCACACCCAGCUAAGUUUUGUAUUUUUAGUAGAGAUCGGGUUUCACCAUGUUGACCAGGCUGGUCUAGAACUCCUGACCUCGUGAUCCACCUGCCUUGGCUUUCCAAAGUGCUGGGAUUAGAGGCGUGAGCCACCGUGCCCAGCCUUUCCUUGCUUUUUAAUGUGUUUUUCUGUGUCCCUAUAUUGAUGUCUCUGUAUUCGAUGAAAUAAUCAGUGAUUCCAAAUUUCCUAGUGUGCCUGUUCUAGAAAAAGACUUUAGAGUUUCAUUUUAUUGUGCCAGUUGGGAAUAGUGUGGUGAUUUUGCUUAUGGAUGAGUGUAGUAAUAUAGGCUCUGUGCAGACUUUUCUCCCUUUUAUUUACUCAUGAAUACUCAAGGCUACAAGUGCAGUUUUUUUUAUGUUGCACAGUGGUAAAGUCUGGGACAUUAGUGUAAUGAUCACUUGAAUAGUGUACAUUGAACCCAUUAAGUAACUUCUUAUCCCUCAACCCCCCUCACCCUCCUUCCCUUCCAAGUCUUCAGUGACUAUUAUUUUACAAUCUAUGUCCAUUCUGCACACUAGAAACUUGACUUUGUUUCUGAAUUGUUUAAAUUAAGAUAAUGGCCUCCAAUUCCAUCCUUGCUGGUGAAAAAGACAUGACUUCAUUCUUUUUUAUGGUUGAGUAGUAUUCCAUGCUCUCUCUCCCUUCCAAGUCUUCAGUGACUAUUAUUUUACAAUCUAUGUCCAUUCUGCACAUUAGAAACUUGACUUUGUUUCUGAAUUGUUUAAAUUAAGAUAAUGGCCUCCAAUUCCAUCCUUGUUGGUGAAAAAGACAUGACUUCAUUCUUUUUUAUGGUUGAGUAGUAUUCCAUGCUCUCUCUCUAUAUAUAUAUGAUAUAUAUAUCAUAUAUACAAAUACACAUAUACAUAUAUAUGUAUGUGUAUAUAUGUAUAUACAUAUGAUAUAUAUCAUAUACAAGCAUGAUAUAUAAUAUAUAUCAUAUACAAGCAUGAUAUAUAAUAUAUAUCAUAUACAAAUGAUAUAUAUUAUAUAUCAUAUAUAAAUAUGAUAUAUAAAUGUGAUAUAUAUAUUUUCUGUAUGCAGUCAUCUGUUUAUGAACUUAGGUUGAUUACAUAUCUUUGCUAGUAUGAAUACCGCUGCAAUAAAUAUACAAGUGCUGGUAUCGUUUUGGUAUAAUGAUUUAUUUUCUAUUGAGUAGAUAUCCAGUAGUGGGAUUGCUGCAUCGAAUGGUAGUUCUAUUUUUAGUUCUUUGUGAAGUCUCCAAACUGAUUUCUAUACAGGUGUACUAAUAAACAUUCAUACCAACAGCAUAUAAGAGUUCCCUUAAUUCUGUAUCCUUGCCAAAAUCUAUUAUUAUAGAGUUUUUGGUAACAGCCAUUCUGAUUGGUGUAGGAUGAUGUCUCAUUGUGGUUUAGAUUUGCGUAUCUCUGAGGGUUAGUAAUGUACAUUUUUUUAUGUGCUUCUUGGCCAUCUAUAUGUCUUCUUUUGAAAAAUGUCUACUUGAGUCCUUUGCCCACUUUUAAAUGGGGUUACUUGUAUUUGUUUUUUUUGGUUGUUGUUGGAUUGAGUUAUUUAUAAAUUCUGAAUAUAAGUCCUUAAUCAUUAAUCAGAUCUGUAGUUUAAAAAUAUUUUCUCCCAUUUUGCCAGCUGGUCUGUUCACCCUGUUGAUUAUUUCUUUUGCUGUGCAGAAGCUUUUUAGUUCAAUUAAGUCCCAUAUGUCUAUUUUUGUCAUUGUUGAUUAUGCUUUUGAGGCCUUAGUCAUGAAUUAGCUGCCUGGUGGCCAGAAGAGUUUUCUUUCCAGGAUUUCUUCCAGUAUUUUUAUUAUUUCAGAUCUUAUAUUUCAGUUCUUGAUCCAUGUUGAGGUAAUUUUUAAAUAUGGUGAGAUAUAGGGGUCUAGUUUUCAUUAUUCUGUAUAUGGCUGUCCCAUUUUCCCAGCAGCAUUUACUGAAAAGAUUGUCCUUAGUGAUUGUUGUUUUUGUCUUAACAAAGAUCAGUUAACUGUAGACUUUUGGCUUUAUUUCUGGUUUCCACAUUCUGUUUCAUUGAUCUAUGUGUCUAUUUUACUUAAUACCAGUACUAUGUUUUGGUUACUAUAGCCUUGUAUUAUAAUUUGAGAUAAGAUAAUAUGAUGACUCCAGGUUUGCUUUUGCUCAGGAGUGCUUUGGUCAUUUGGGCUCUUCUUUUGUUCUAUAUAAAUUUUAGGAUGUUUUUUCUAAUUCUGUGAAAACUGACAUUGGCAUUUUCAUAGGAAUUGCACUGAAUCUGUAUAUUGCUUUGGGCAUUAUGGUCAUUUUAAUGACAUUGAUUCUCCUGCUCCAGGACCAUGGGAUGUUUUUCCAUCUUUUUGUGCCAUCUACAAUUUCUUUCAUCAAAGUUUUGUAGUUUUCCUUGUAGAGAUCUUUCAACUUAUUAGUGAAAUAUAUUCCUAAGUAUUUUAUUUUGUCUUUUGUAGUCAGUGUAAAUGAAACUGCCUUCUUGAUUUGUUUUUCAGCUUGAUUUGUAUUGGUGUAUAGAAAUGCUACAGAGUUUUGUAUGUUGAUUUUGCAUCUUGUAACUAUACUAGAUUUGUUUAUCAAAACUAAGAGUUUUCUGGAGAGGUCUUGAGGAUUUUUCUAGGUGUUAGACCAUAUCUUUAGUGAAUACAGAUAGUUUGACUUUCUCUUUUCCAAUUUGCAUGGUUUUCAUAUCUUUCUAUUGUCUGAUUUCUCUGGUUAGGACGUCCGGUAUUAUUUAGAAUAGGAGUGGUGAAAGUGGGUAUACAUGUGUUGUUCCAGUUCUUCGGGGAAGAGCUUUCAAUGUUUCCACAUUCAGUAUGAUGUUGAUUGUGGGUUUGUUGUAUAUGGAUUUUAUUAUUUUGUGGCAUGCUCACUAUGCCUAGGUUUUGAUGAUUUUUAUCAUGAAGAGAUGAAUUUCAUCAAAUGCUUUUUCUGCAUUUACUGAGAUGAUCAUACAGUUUUUAACACUGUUUAUGUGGUGAAUCACAUUUAUUAAUUUGCAUAUGUUGAACCAUCUUUGCAUCGCUGGAAUAAAUCUUGCUGUGCUGUUGGAUUCAAUUUGCUAGUAUUAUGUUGAGGAUUUUUGCAUGUAUGUUCACCAGAUUUUCUCUUUUUGUUGUGUACUUGUCUAACUUUGGUAUCAGGGUGAUAACAAUUUCAUAUAAUGAGUUAGGGAAGAUUCCCUUCUCCUUGAUUUUUUGGAACAGUUUCAGUAGAACUGGUACCAGUACUUCUUUGUACAUUUAGGAGAAUUUGAUUGUCAGUCCACACGGUCAUGCAGCUCUUUUGUUGUUGUUUUGGGGAGAUGUUUUUAUACUGAUUUAAUCUCACCACUCAUUAUUGAUCUGUUCAACAUUUAUAUUUCUUCCUAUCUUGAGAGGUUACGUUUCCAGGAAUUUAUCCAUUUCCCCUAGGUUUUCUAGUUUGUGAGCAUAGAGUUGUUCAUAGUAUUCUCUGAUGAUCUUUCAUAUUUAUGUUCUAUCAGUUGUAAUGUCUUCUUUUUCAUUUCUGAUUGUAUUUAUCUGAAUCUUCUGUUUCUUGGUUAUUAGAGGGAGUGGUUUAUCAAUUUUGUUUACAUUUUCAACAACCAACUUUUUGUUGUCUUGAUUCUUUGUAUUUCUUUGGUCUCAAUUUUAUUUAGUACUGCUUUAAUUUUUAUUAUUUCUUUUCUUCUGCUAGCUUUGGGUUUGGUUUGUUCAUAUGUUUCUAGUUCCUUCAGGUUUGAUGUUAGUUUGUUAAUUACCUUUGUUUUGGGAGGCAGGGCCUCACUCUGUUGCCCAGGCUGAAGUGCAAGUGGCACAAUCGUGACUUAUUGCAGCCUGGACCUUCUGAGCUCAAGCGAUCUUCCCACCUUAGCCUCCCAGGUAGCUGAGUCUACAGGCAUGCAUCACCAUGUCCCGGCUAAGUUUUUAUUUUAUUUUAUUUUAUUUUAUUUUAUUUUAUUUUUAAAUUGUUCGUAGAGGUAGGUCUCGCUAUGUUGGCCAGACUGGUCCUGAACUCCUUGGCUCAAGGGAUCCUCCUGCCUCAGCUGCCCAAAGACGCUGAGACUACAGAGAUGAACCACCAAGUACAGCCCUUUUUUUCUUUUUUUUUUAAUGUAGGCAUUUAACACUAUAAACUUCCCUCUUAGCACUGCUUUUGCUAUAUCCCAGGGGUUUUAACAUAUUGUUUCCAUUUUCAUUCUGUUCAAAAAAAUUUUAAUUUCCUUUUUAAUUUCAUUGUUGAUCCAAAGACUGUUCAGGAGUGUGUUGUCAACUCUGUCUAUUUAUACAGUUUCUUGUUUUGUUUCUUUGAGAUGGAGUCUGGCUCUGUCGCCCAGGCUGGAGUGCAGUGGCACAAUCUCGGCUCACUGAAACUUCCGCCUCCCGGAUUCAAGCGAUUCUCCUGCCUCAGCCUCCUGAGUAGCUGGGAUUACAGGUACACGCCAUCACGUCCAGUUAAUUUUUGUAUUUUUAGUAGAGAUGGGGUUUCGCCAUGUUGGUCAGGCUGGUCUCAAACUCCUGACCUCAGGUGAUCCACUGGCCUCGGUCUCCCAAAGUGCUGGGAUUACAGGCUUGGGCCACCGCGCCUGGCUAUUUAUAUAGUUUUGAGAAUUUCCGUUGGUAUUGAUUUCUAGUUUUAUUCUGCUGUGAUCUGAAAAGAUACUUGACAUGAGUUUGAUUUUUAAAAAUUUUUUGAGACUUGCUUUGUGGUAACAUAUGGUCUAUUUUGGAGAAUGUUCCAUGUUCCGAUGAGAAGAAUUAUAUGGUUAGAAUGUUCCACAUGUGUCUAUUAAAUCCAUUUGGUCUAGAGUCCAAUUUAAGUCUAGUGUUUGUGGUUUUUCUGUCUCAGUGUUCUGUCAGUUGCUGUGAGUGGCAUGUUGAAGUUCCCCACUAUUAUUGUAUUAUUGUCUAUCUUUGUCUUUAGGUGUAGUAAUAUUUGUUUUAUGAAUCUGGGUGCUCUGGUGCUGGGUGUAUAUAUAUUAGGAUUGUUAUAUUCUCUUGUUGACUUGAUUCCUUUCUCAUUAUAAAAUGACAUUCUUUCUUUUUUACUGUUUUUGAUUUAAAGUAUGUUCUAUCUGAUAUGAAUAUAGUUACUCCUGCUUGCUUUUGGUUUCCAUUCAUGUGAGGAAAAUCUUUUUCCAACUCCUUUACCCACAGUCUGUAAGUGUCUUUACCAGCUGAGAGGAUUUCUUAUAAGCAGCAUGUAGAUGGCUGAUUUUUAAAAACCCAUUCCAUCAAUUUAUAUCUUUUAAGUGGAAUAUUUAUGUCAUUUACAUUCAAGGUUAAUAUUUUAUACUUUCCCGCACUUUUAUGGUGGUAAGUACUAACCCUUUGUUUCCAUGUUUAGAAUUCCUUUGAGUAUUCCUUGUAGGUCCAGUCUAUUUGUGACCACUUCCCUUGAUGUUUGCUUUUGUGGCAAAGACUUUAUUUCUACUUCAUUUAUCAAGCUUACUCUACCAGGAUAUAAAAUUCCUGAUUGACAGUUUGCUUUUUUUUUUUUUUUUCUCUUUAAGAACUCAGAAAAAAGGCUCUCAAUCCAUUCUGGCUUGUUAAGUCUCACAUUGAGAAGUCCACUGCUACUCUGAUAAGGUUUCUCUUAUAGGCAACUAGACAUCAGAUUUUUUCCUACAUGUUGACUUUAUACAGUUUGAUGACUAUAUUUCUUGGUGAACUAUGUCUUGCAAUGCACUUUUCUGGUAUUUGCUGGGCCUCUUAUAUUUGAAUGUGUAAAUCUUUUGCAAGACUAGGGAAAUUUUAACGUAGUAUUUCCUUAAAUAGGUUUUCCAGUCUUGUUACUUUUUCUUCUCUUUUGGAAAUACCAAGGAUUCAUAAGUGUAAUCAUUACUAUGUAGUACAUAUUGAAGUCUUUGUUCAUUUUUUUCUUUUUUUCUGACUCUAUUAAUUUAAAAGAUUUGUUUCAAGCAGUGAGAUUCUCUGCUUUGCUUGCUCUAGUCUCUUGUUGAAGCUUUCAACUGUCUUGUUUAAUUCCUUCAAUAAUUUUUUAUUUUCUAGCAGUUCUGGCUUUUUUAGAAAUAAUGAUAUCCAUCUCGUUGGUACACUUGUCAUUCAUAUUCAAAAUUAAUUUGUUGAUUCAUCAGUACUGGUUUUCAGAUUUGUCUUUUUAUUUCCAUGAGAUUCUUUACAAUCAAUAAUUUAAAUUGGUAUUUUGAUUAUUUCUUUUUGGUUAGGAUCUAUUACCGGAGAAUUACUGUUUCUUUGGGGAUGCCAUAACCCUUUGCUAUUAAAUACUUCAGCAUUAUUACACUGAUUUCUUUACAUAUGAGAAAACAGUUGCUUCUUCUUGCUUUUGAAUUUACUUUCUUUGGGGGGAAAUUUUUUUUUUUCUCUUCAGGAUGUGACUAUGAUGUUAUGUAGGGCUGUUUCUCUUUGCUUCUGGGUAUGUUCAGUAGCAAAGACUCUGUACAAUAUUAGUUAAAAAUAGCUUUAAUGUGGUGGCUUUAUAAAAUGGCAGUUGUAGUAGCUGUGUACUGGGUGGAUGAAGAAGCCACUUCAGAAUACUGAGAAGCCAGGGUGGCAUGGGUGAUGGUGGAUGCAGAGGUCACAUGAAGCCUGUCUCCUUCCUGAGUGCUGUGCAUCUUUUUCAGCAGAUUUGCCUUGUGUUUUGGAGGCUGACCUGGUCAGUAGGUGGUACAUGCCAGUUAGAGCAGGCUGCCAUGAUAGCAGUAGGGUUUAUAUGUGAUCUUUGUUAACAUCUGUAGAAGCGCUUUCAGUGUCCCAGGUGGUGGGUUGGGCCCUGGAGUGCUCAAGGGCUUGAGUCACCUUCUCUCUAGGAUGGGGUGGUAAAGCUGAGUAAAGCCAGAUUGGGGAACCCUGCACUCAGGCCCCCCAUGGCAGAUGUACACACCAGCCCUGAGAGGGGUGGUGGGGGAGUCCUCAGGCCCCUGGUGAAAUCUGCUGAGGUCUCCGCUUGGGGAGUGAAGGGCGGUACCAGCACCAUGGCUUUGACAGGCAGGAAUGAGAUCUGCUACCUUUACUCGCCUUUGUCUGACAUUCAGAAUAUUCGGUUAGGUUAGACAAUGCUGUUUCCUUUUAGGCUGCAAUGCUGUUUACUUAUAGGAUGAAACUGUAUCAGACUUUGUAGUGGCUGUGCAUGUUGAUAUCCUGGCCAGUAGGCAGUGCGUGCAGGUGAGAGCCAGCUGCAGUGGUGGUGUUACAGUUAAGGCUUGACCUUUGUUAACUUGGUGAUGUACUUGGGUUUCCCAGGCAAUGGGUUGGGCCACGGAAUUCUCAGCGGUCUCAGUCCUGUACUUUGCUUCCAAGGUGGGAAAUAGGGGGGAAAGCUGGUGGUGUUGGGUAGAGGAGAAAGCAGGGUGGGGCUGAGAUGGGCAGGUCUAUACCUGGUCCUCCUAAUGGCCAGUACAAGUGCCAGCCCUGAUGGGGGUUGGAGGACAGUUCUCAGGCCACUGGAGCAAUAGUUCAGGGAGAAGUGGAGCAACUCUUUCUGUUCCAACUAACCAGCAUGGGGAAAGUGGGGUGGCUCGGGUUCCAUAGCCUAGCAGGUGGUAGUGAGACCUGCCUUGCUCUCAUGCUCUCAACCUAGCGGGAUACCAUCCUACGGCCUGCCACUGGCAUCGAGCUGAGGCAGCCAGCCAAAUCACAAGCAGUUUGUCUUUGGACUGCAAUAUAACCCCAGGCCAUAAAACUGUGGCUCCCAGGUGAAACCCCUCCCAGCCCAAUUCCAGGAUGGGGAGGUUCCCGAAUCCCAUAACCUUGGCUGGAGCCAAUGCCACACUUGCUUAUCAGUUCUGGCCUCGUUCCUGGGACUGUGCAUAGUCUGCUAAAAGCAGAUGAGAAUUUCACAAAAUGCCACGUUAUCACAAAUUUCUGAAGAGGCUGACAGGUUAUUAAUCAGGAUAAACCACAUUGAAUAAAGUAUUCCUGUUAAGGUAUCUUUUCUAACCUUAGAAGAUUUUUUUCCAAGCACAUAAAAAAAAAUGUUUACAUUAAAAACAACUUGAUAUACCUGCUU
Homo sapiens (human) is the source of this 27162-nucleotide long non-coding RNA. RefSeq annotates it as ITFG1 antisense RNA 2. The transcript has 3 exons. The record is from RefSeq and is a predicted model, not a curated record. Lineage: Eukaryota; Metazoa; Chordata; Mammalia; Primates; Hominidae.